GAAUUCGUUGAGCCGAGAGAGAGGCCGCAAUACCCACGUUUACCCUUUUCUGCCGACAGAAGCCCACGUCUAACUCUCUCCGUUUCUCUUGAAAUUUCAGGCGAUUGGUGGUGAUGGGUUGGUAGAUUUUAAGUUAAGAAAACGAAGAGAAACGGAGAGAGAGAGAGAGAGAGAGAGAGAGAGAGAGAGGGAGGGAGAGGGAGAGCGAGAGGUAGAUCUCUUUCGUUCAAUUUCUCUUGUUUCUCUUUGUUGUUGUUGUAAUGGGGUGGAGAUACAAGGCAGGAUUGUUGCUGAUGGUUGCUGUUGUUAUUAUAUGGGUUACAUCCGCUGAAGUCACACAGGGUAUAUUUACAGAUUACAAACAGCCAUUUGCUAUCACAUAUUUGGGAGCCUCUCUUAUGGUAGUCUACCUCCCAUUAGCAUUCAUUAAGGAUUGCAUAUGUAAUUCAAUGAGAAAGCAGUCUUCUAAAAGUGGUAGAAAUGCAGAAACUGUUGACAAGACUUCUGCUGGGCUUGAGUCUCCUAUAAACCGCAAUGGGAUGCAGAAGAUCUUGGAAAUGGAAAUGCAGGAUACUAUAACUAGAAAAGAUAGUGAACAGGACCUUUCUGCUCAGGAAGAAGGGAAGCCGUUGAUUGCUAAACGAAAAGGCGACCUGGAUAGAGCACUUACCACAAGGGAAAUUGCUAAAUAUGGCUUUUAUAUUGCCCCUAUUUGGUUUAUUACAGAGUAUUUAUCAAAUGCUGCACUCGCACGCACAAGUGUUGCUAGCACGACAGUACUGUCCUCAACUUCAGGACUUUUUACGCUUUUCAUUGGUGCCCUUCUGGGACAAGACUCUCUAAAUAUAGCGAAAGUAGUUGCUGUUUUUGUCAGCAUGGCUGGUGUUGCCAUGACAACUCUGGGGAAGACUUGGGCCUCUGAUGAAUUGCAGAUAAGCUCUCCUGGAAGUGGAAAACGUUCUCUUGUUGGAGAUCUGUUUGGCCUUCUCUCCGCAAUGUCAUAUGGUCUAUUUACUGUGCUACUCAAAAAGUUCUGUGGAGAGGGAGGAGAGAAGAUUGAUGUGCAAAAGUUAUUUGGAUAUGUUGGAUUAUUCACGCUUGUUGCCCUCUGGUGGCUUGUAUGGCCAUUGACAGCGUUGGGAAUUGAACCAAAGUUCACAAUCCCUCACUCAGCUAAAUUGGAUGAACUCUUGCUUGCUAAUGGGUUAAUUGGAAGUGUUCUCUCGGAUUACAUCUGGGCAUUGUGUGUCGUUUGGACUACUCCCUUGGUGGCUACUUUAGGAAUGUCCCUCACGAUACCACUUGCCAUGGUCGCCGACAUGAUGAUUCACGGACGGCAUUAUUCAGCAGUCUACAUGCUUGGCUCAGCUCAGGUAUUCGCUGGGUUUGUAAUAGCUAACCUUUCUGAUUGGCUUUCAAAAAAGCUGGGAUUGUAGCAUUACCAAACAACUCAUAAUCUGGUGAUUUAUGAUUCUUUCUUGUGUGCAUUCUUUCCCUCAUUAAGCUGAGGCGAUGGAUGAGCUAGUCCUGGUUCAUUGCUGCUCUUCACGCAUGGCUAUGCCUUGGUAGAAAAUCCAACCGGAGCCAGAUGAGUCCUGAGGGCUUCAAACUGACAAUGGAAGGGGAAAAUAGUAAAUGGGCUGAAGGCUAGAAUCCUUAAAAAAGAAAGAUUCUUUUAUGCUUUUUCCUAAAGUGGGCCGUCCAUGAUAGGGUUUGUGAGAUGGACAGUUCGGAUUCACCAUCCAAUGAGGAGAGCGUAUUAUAUUA
This is an RNA transcript of Magnolia sinica, 1767 nucleotides long. RefSeq lists it as uncharacterized. The record is from RefSeq and is a predicted model, not a curated record. The transcript is spliced from 9 exons. Lineage: Eukaryota; Viridiplantae; Streptophyta; Magnoliopsida; Magnoliales; Magnoliaceae.